GACGAACGCUGGCGGCGUGCUUAACACAUGCAAGUCGAGCGGAAAGGCCCUUCGGGGUACUCGAGCGGCGAACGGGUGAGUAACACGUGAGCAACCUGCCCCUGACUCUGGGAUAAGCCCGGGAAACUGGGUCUAAUACCGGAUACGACACCGAUCGGCAUCGUUUGGUGUGGAAAGUUUUUCGGUCAGGGAUGGGCUCGCGGCCUAUCAGCUUGUUGGUGGGGUAGUGGCCCACCAAGGCGACGACGGGUAGCCGGCCUGAGAGGGCGACCGGCCACACUGGGACUGAGACACGGCCCAGACUCCUACGGGAGGCAGCAGUGGGGAAUAUUGCACAAUGGGGGAAACCCUGAUGCAGCGACGCCGCGUGCGGGAUGACGGCCUUCGGGUUGUAAACCGCUUUCAGCAGGGACGAAUCUGACGGUACCUGCAGAAGAAGCGCCGGCUAACUACGUGCCAGCAGCCGCCGUAAAAC
This 475-nucleotide ribosomal RNA is filed under the name uncultured bacterium. RNAcentral describes it as "bacterial SSU rRNA". It matches the Rfam family "Bacterial small subunit ribosomal RNA", at positions 28 to 526 of the family's 1533-position model. The record is from RNAcentral.